This 229-nucleotide ribosomal RNA is filed under the name uncultured bacterium. RNAcentral's name for it is "partial 16S ribosomal RNA". It matches the Rfam family "Bacterial small subunit ribosomal RNA", at positions 118 to 347 of the family's 1533-position model. The record is from RNAcentral.
UGAGUAAUCUGCCCUUCACUCUGGGAUAAGCUUCGGAAACGGGGUCUAAUACCGGAUACGACCAGCCUCUGCAUGGGGUGUUGGUGGAAACUUUUGUGGGUGGGGGAUGUGCUCGCGGCCUAUCAGCUUGUUGGUGGGGUAAUGGCCUAUCAAGGCUUCGACGGGUAGCCGGCCUGAGAGGGUGACCGGCCACACUGGGACUGAGACACGGCCCAGACUCCUACGGGAG